RNAcentral lists this ribosomal RNA (379 nucleotides) under uncultured eukaryote. Its description in RNAcentral is "partial 18S ribosomal RNA". It matches the Rfam family "Eukaryotic small subunit ribosomal RNA", at positions 592 to 976 of the family's 1831-position model. The record is from RNAcentral.
CAAUAGCGUAUAUUAAAGUUGUUGCGGUAAAAAAGCUCGUAGUUGGAUUUCUGUUGAGAGCGACCGGUCCAUACCAUGUAUGCGUAUCUGGCUUGCUCUCGGCAUCCUCUCGAUAGACGUUACUGCGCUUGAUUGCGUGGUGCGGAUCUCGGGACUUUUACUUUGAGGAAAUUAGAGUGUUCACGGCAGGCUUUCGCCAGAAUACAUUAGCAUGGAAUAAUACUAUAGGAUCUUGGUUCUAUUUUGUUGGUUUCUAGAAUUGAGAUAAUGAUUAAUAGGGACAAUUGGGGGCAUUCGUAUCAACACGUCAGAGGUGGAAUUCUUGGAUUGUGUCGCGACGAACUACUGCGAAAGCAUUUGCCAAGGAUGUUUUCAUUGA